This is a long non-coding RNA of Sorghum bicolor (sorghum), 2082 nucleotides long. RefSeq lists it as uncharacterized. Lineage: Eukaryota; Viridiplantae; Streptophyta; Magnoliopsida; Poales; Poaceae. The transcript is spliced from 3 exons. The record is from RefSeq and is a predicted model, not a curated record.
UAUUAGGAAGGUGUUGGCCCGGCAAAAAAUCACGGCAUCUCUUUCCUAUGGUGCCUUAUUUCUUUUCGGUCAAACGUUGUCUCCUCACUGCUCCUUGACGGCAUCUGAUCGCUGCAGCUUGCAACCGUCCUCUGCCUCCGCAUGUGCCCGCCGCCGAACCACCGUGAAUCUGCUUGGUGCCUGCCGCUGAACCCGGCCCUCCUUUCGCUGGUGACACGAAGAGCGCUGCGACAACGCCGCAACCCAGACGCCGCUGUCAUCUGGCUCCGGAUCCGGCCCUCCGUCGGUGGCUUUUGCCUUCCGCCGAACCACCGUGAAUCGGUGCGGCAUGCCGGUGCAAACCGGCGAGUGAGCGUCCUUCGGAAUAGACCACUAUGCCACAUCACAGCACCUCUGUUCCUUGGCCUCAGGUCGCCACCGUUGGACGGGCCACUUCUGGACUCGACGCCUGCAAUCCCGCGAGCCACCGAAUGACCUCACAUCUUAUCCCCAAUACCUCAGGCAGGCAGCGAUGGCGACAGGGAAACCCUAGCCGCCGCCACAUUCCAGUUGCCGUCGGCAUAGGCCAAGGGGAGCAGCAGCAAGUCAACGUCCUCCCUCUGGUUGUCGUGGGGCAUCAUGCCUCAUGGAGCACCAGCCGCCGCAGAUGCCCAAGGCUCUCCAGCGGCCAUCCAGGCCAGCCCCGCUGGCAACUUAGGUCGGCCCACGCGUCCAGCGACCACAGCCGGCCGUCAGCCCCCGUCCACAGACCCGCACCCGCGGAGGAGUACGCCAUGGCGGAGUAGGCAGAGGCACAAGUCCGCUGGCUGCUGGACAUCCUCGCCUGCACUAACAAAUCGAGGUGAAGGUUUGCAAUAUGAAGCUUCUCCAAGUUUAAUUAUCUGCCCUGGUUGUUGAGCUCCGGCGAAAGCAACACCUUGAGCAAAUGGCACGACUAGCAUGUAAUGUUAGGGGCCAAAUCACUUGCAAAUGAACAAUAUGGUUGGAUCAGGUAUGGCAUGCAACUGCUUUACCCUUUUUUCUUGGUAUCCAAAAUCUUAUGGUCUCUGCAUUUAGGAAACAUAGAAAACGAAAAUCUAUCAAAGCGUUCUUGAAAAUAACAAUUCUAUGAUUAAUUGGCACUGCUACUCUAAUAUGAACUCAUUUUAGACUUUAGUGUGUCUGAGUCGCCAUAUGCUCACUUUUAAUCUAUUUUAGGUUUGUAAAUUAUGCCGAAAGGUAGAGAAAUCUGUAUUGAAAGUGGUUGUGUGAUUAUAUUUGUUGUUAGACUUGUGACAUUCAAUACAAAGGAUCGAGUUUUUUUAAUGCUUGGACAAUUAUGUUAAUAAAUGGCAUAAUUUGACACUUGGUUCAAGGCAAGUGGAAUAGCUUUUCAAAGAUGAGAUUGCUGGGUUAGGACAACUGUUCAAAGUAGUGGAUGCUAAAAAUAGAGUUGCAAUUACUUUUGAUGAUCUUAGGAGAAGUUAUAGGAGAUGUUGUACUGAAUUUAGAGGAUAGAAAAAAGUGAUAGAAUGGAAGUGGUAACAUGAACUAUUUUCUUGUUUGACACAUGGCAGUUGUCAGUCUGUCACUAAGCAUUUUUUUUGGUUGAAGUGUUCUGUGUGAAGUCUGAUCAAUUUUAUUACAGUAAAUAAUAUGAAUGCCUGAUAAAUGAGCGAAAUAAAACAUGUGAUGUGAGGACCUAGAUUAUUACACUUUGAUUGUCUGAACAUACGUUGUUUGAUAUUUUUAUCAAAUUUUGUUCUUUGAUGGCAUCUUACAUACCAUUGGGCUGAAGCCAAUUGUGCUAUUCUUUAUGAGGCCUAAGAGCACACUAGCACUUUGAAGGAGAAUGAGGGUGGCUGCAAGGGAUAAAUGUUGAGGGCAAGAGAAAGACAUGAAGUUGCACUGUUUGUUACUUGGAUCCUUCGGGAAAUGAGGCGAUAGGUAUCCGAAUUGCCAAGUACAAUGUCCCUUGUUUGAAAACCAAUGCUACUUAUGUCGAAAGCAAAUGUGUCUUUCCGUAACUGUGUUAAUUUCGUAAAUUUUAUUUUUUAAUUAAAUAUCACUUAAAUAUCGGUAUUUAAUUUUAUAGUAUUAUUA